UGCGCAGGCGGUUUAUCAAGAAAGGUGUGAAAUCCCCGGGCUCAACCUGGGAAUGGCACUUUUAACUGAUAGGCUAGAGUAUGUCAGAGGGGGUAGAAUUCCACGUGUAGCAGUGAAAUGCGUAGAGAUGUGGAGGAAUACCGAUGGCGAAGGCAGCCCCCUGGGAUAAUACUGACGCUCAUGCACGAAAGCGUGGGAGCAAACA
RNAcentral lists this ribosomal RNA (205 nucleotides) under uncultured bacterium. RNAcentral describes it as "partial 16S ribosomal RNA". It matches the Rfam family "Bacterial small subunit ribosomal RNA", at positions 568 to 774 of the family's 1533-position model. The record is from RNAcentral.